AUAUCGUCGCAAUCAGACAUCCGGACGAGGCACACCGUACCCGGCCAGCGAAAAGACGGUGUGAA
RNAcentral lists this non-coding RNA (65 nucleotides) under Tsukamurella paurometabola. The record is from RNAcentral. Lineage: Bacteria; Bacillati; Actinomycetota; Actinomycetes; Mycobacteriales; Tsukamurellaceae. RNAcentral also lists the same sequence under 1 other name.